This is a long non-coding RNA of Gavialis gangeticus (Gharial), 1184 nucleotides long. RefSeq lists it as uncharacterized. NCBI's taxonomy places the organism in Eukaryota, Metazoa, Chordata, Crocodylia, Gavialidae. The record is from RefSeq and is a predicted model, not a curated record. The transcript has 4 exons.
AGCCCUGACCACCCCUGUGUCCCCUCUGCAGGUACCUGUGCUGCGACACCCAGAUGGAGAUGCGGGAGUGGUUUGCCAGCUUCUUCUUCGUGAAGAACGGCGGGAGCGUGUGGCCGUCAGAGCCCUCCAGGGCACGAGCGUCGCGGGUGCCGCUGGACUCCAGGUUGGGUAACAUCUCACUCAUCCCGCUGCGGGGCAAUGAGAACGAGAUGAGGAACAGUGUGGCUGCUUUCGCUACUGAUACCCUAACCCUCCUUCGGGACGCGUGAGCUGGACGCCUGACACUCCAGGUUCAUUUCCAGUGAGGGAGCCGGCAGAGAGCUCGGGCACUCGCAGAGCCCAGCACAGGGUCCACGCCGGCACUGGGGGUCUCUCAGGAUGUGCCCACCGGCUCCAUCACCUUCUUCCCACCCCUUCCCAAGGUGCCGCCAGCCGCCGCGAUGAGCAGAGCCCUUUGGAGGAAAAACACCGGGGAACAGACCCCAGAGCCGUCAGCGCCUCCCAGACCCCAGACCCAGGGUCCCCCAGCGCCAGCUGCUGCUUGCUUCCUCCUGUCCCCUAGACCAACACUGGAUGGGCAUGGGCUGGCACGGCACCUCUGGGCACCUCUGGGUCUGCAGGAGGUCUCUGCUGCCUCGAUCCUAAAUUCCCCCCUCAGUUUCAAUGGAGAGGCCCUGGGGAUGCUACGGACAGCCUGGGGGAGCCCUGCCCAUGGGCCUUGCCAGUGUGCUGGGGGUCAGUGGAAGCAUUUUCGGGGCCGAGCUGUUGGUCACUACUUCAGAGGAGAAGCCACCAAAGGAUGAGGCCGAGGCCGAGGCCGAGGCCGAGGCCGAGGCCUCUCAUGGACACAGUGGCCUCUUUGGUGCUUGGUGCCCACUUCUCUCCAUUUCUUGCUCUCUUUGGGCAAGCAUCGCAGGUGGGGCACCGAGGCCAUCAGCUCACACCCAGCUGGGGGGGAGCUGCAGUAGCAGCACCUCUCUGAAGAGACUGUGGAGGGGAUGCUGGCCUGAGCUGGGCACGGGGGGCUCAGCCCUGGGUUUCCAGUGUGUCUGGCCUCCCCCCCCGACCCUCCCUGGUGCUGGGGGAACUGCAAACUGUGGGUGGAGUGGCUGAAAGCGGGGGACGGGGCAGGCCCCUGCCCAGCGGUGCCUCUCGUGGGUCAUAUUAAACAUGUUGUGAAGCUG